GGCUAGGUAGUGGGAGGGACUUUGCCGGCGACGGAGGAAAAUGAAUGGGGGAGAGGCUGCCGGGGGCGGGGAGGGAGGAGCUGAGAGCCGGGGUAGAUUCCAAAGAGUGUUUUGUACGUCUUCAGGCGGUGGGGGAAGAGAAGUGGGGCCGCCUGAAGGGAGGGGCGGACUGGGUGGGCCAAGGAUGAGCUUCAGGGGAACUCACAUGAGUCUGGGGACAGUGCGGCGAGUCUCCUUACGUGAGCACCCCAAAGGAUCGUAUGCGCGCAGAUCCCGAAUCGUGAUUCUAGCUGAACCGGGGGGACUACAUUUCUCCUAUGCAAACAACUAUCCUUAUGAUGAGUGGUGAUCCUAUUUGACAGAGCCCAAAAUUCAUUGCAGAAUCAUCUGUCUCCUGGGAACAUAUCAUCUACCUAGGUAAGAUGAGUGCACCUCAAAUGCCUGUUUUUUAAAUAAUCCUGAAUCU
This 466-nucleotide long non-coding RNA is filed under the name Rattus norvegicus (Norway rat). Its description in RNAcentral is "long non-coding RNA NONRATT033181". Lineage: Eukaryota; Metazoa; Chordata; Mammalia; Rodentia; Muridae. The record is from RNAcentral.